This 151-nucleotide ribosomal RNA is filed under the name uncultured Alphaproteobacteria bacterium. Its description in RNAcentral is "partial 16S ribosomal RNA". It matches the Rfam family "Bacterial small subunit ribosomal RNA", at positions 335 to 504 of the family's 1533-position model. The record is from RNAcentral. Lineage: Bacteria; Pseudomonadati; Pseudomonadota; Alphaproteobacteria.
ACUCCUACGGGAGGCAGCAGUGGGGAAUAUUGGACAAUGGGCGAAAGCCUGAUCCAGCAAUGCCGCGUGAGUGAUGAAGGCCUUAGGGUUGUAAAGCUCUUUUACCAGGGAUGAUAAUGACAGUACCUGGAGAANAAGNCCGGCUAACUCC